UGGCGGACGGGUGAGUAACGCGUGGGUAGCCUGCCUCAUACAGGGGGAUAACAGUUAGAAAUGACUGCUAAUACCGCAUAAGACCACAGCACCGCAUGGUGCAGGGGUAAAAACUCCGGUGGUAUGAGAUGGACCCGCGUCUGAUUAGGUAGUUGGUGGGGUAACGGCCUACCAAGCCGACGAUCAGUAGCCGACCUGAGAGGGUGACCGGCCACAUUGGGACUGAGACACGGCCCAA
Molecule: ribosomal RNA, 238 nt
Filed under: uncultured bacterium
Lineage: Bacteria
Description: partial 16S ribosomal RNA
Rfam family: Bacterial small subunit ribosomal RNA
Source: RNAcentral